GCAAGUUGUAUGUGAAAGCCCUGGGCUCAACCUAGGAACUGCAUCCAAAACUACUAAGCUAGAGUACGAGAGAGGAGAGUAGAAUUUCUGGUGUAGCGGUGAAAUGCGUAGAUAUCAGAAGGAAUACCAAUGGCGAAGGCAGCUCUCUGGCUCGUCACUGACGCUGAGGUGCGAAAGCGUGGGUAGCAAACAGGAUUAGAUACCCUGGUAGUCCACGCCGUAAACGAUGACAACUAGCCGUUGGGCAGAUUUAACUGUUCAGUGGCACAGCUAACGCAUUAAGUUGUCCGCCUGGGGAGUACGGCCGCAAGGCUAAAACUCAAAUGAAUUGACGGGGGCCCGCACAAGUGGUGGAGCAUGUGGUUUAAUUCGAUGCAACGCGAAGAACCUUACCAAUCCUUGAAAUCUAGCGAAGUUCGCAGAGAUGUGAAUGUGCCUUCGGGAACGCUAUGACAGGUGUUGCAUGGCUGUCGUCAGCUCGUGUCGUGAGAUGUAUGGUUAAGUCCAGUAACGAGCGCAACCCCUAUCCUUAUUUGCCAGCGAGUAAUGUCGGGAACUAUAGGGAGACUGCCGGGUGAAACCCGGAGGAAGGCGGGGACGAGGUCAAGUCAUCAUGGCCCUUAUGGAUUGGGCUACACACGUGCUACAAUGGGAAGUACAGAGGGAUGCGAAAGCGCGAGCUG
Molecule: ribosomal RNA, 683 nt
Filed under: uncultured bacterium
Lineage: Bacteria
Description: bacterial SSU rRNA
Rfam family: Bacterial small subunit ribosomal RNA
Source: RNAcentral